This 526-nucleotide long non-coding RNA is filed under the name Ananas comosus (pineapple). Its description in RNAcentral is "long non-coding RNA (ACOM_LNC041097)". Lineage: Eukaryota; Viridiplantae; Streptophyta; Magnoliopsida; Poales; Bromeliaceae. The record is from RNAcentral.
AAGAAUGGAAUAUAGUUUAAAUAAAAAUAUAUGAAUUGCUAAAUAAUUUGUAUAUAUUUAAAAAGAUACUUAUCUAAGAGUAGAAUGGUUAUUUGUGGAAAAAAAAAGAUUAAUUUCAUACAGAUUUCUAUAAAUAUAGUGAAUAACAAAUAUAUCCUUACAAAGUUCAACUUUUAUAUGUUGUUCCUAGAAAAGUCCUGAUAUUUUCAAAUAUGUCAGUCUGUUUUGUUACCGUUAGAGAACUAUUAGAGAACUGUUCAUAUUUUUAAUUUUGUCAUCACAAAUAUAUCUCUCCGAAAAUCAUAACAGUAUGAUAUAAGAAAUGUAAAAAUGUCAAAAAUUAAUUAAAGUUAAGUAUUUAACCUAUGGUAAACCAAAUUUUUCUAACGAAUUUUAACGACAAAAAUACAUUUGAAAACAUCAGAAUUUUUGUAGAGAUAAUAUAUGAAAGUUGAACUUUGUAAAGAUAUAUUUGUCAUUCACUAUAUUUGUACGGAUCUAUAUGAAAUUAACUAAAAAAAAAAGU